This 497-nucleotide ribosomal RNA is filed under the name uncultured bacterium. RNAcentral's name for it is "partial 16S ribosomal RNA". It matches the Rfam family "Bacterial small subunit ribosomal RNA", at positions 28 to 507 of the family's 1533-position model. The record is from RNAcentral.
GACGAACGCUGGCGGCGUGCCUAAUACAUGCAAGUUGAGCGCUGAAGGUUGGUACUUGUACCGACUGGAUGAGCAGCGCACGGGUGAGUAACGCGUGGGGAAUCUGCCUUUGAGCGGGGGACAACAUUUGGAAACGAAUGCUAAUACCGCAUAAAAACUUUAAACACAAGUUUUAAGUUUGAAAGAUGCAAUUGCAUCACUCAAAGAUGAUCCCGCGUUGUAUUAGCUAGUUGGUGAGGUAAAGGCUCACCAAGGCGAUGAUACAUAGCCGACCUGAGAGGGUGAGCCGCCACAUUGGGACUGAGACACGGCCCAAACUCCUACGGGAGGCAGCAGUAGGGAAUCGUCGGAAAUGGACGAAAGUCUGUCCGAGCAACGCCGCGUGAGGGAAGAAGGUUUUCGGAUCGUAAAAAUCGGUUGGUAGAGAAGAAAGUUGGUGAGAGUGGAAAGCUCAUCAAGUGACGGUAACUACGCAGAAAGGGACGGCUAACUACGUG